AUUUCUUCUCGGCCUUUUGGCUAAGAUCAAGUGUAGUAUCUAACUUAUGUAAGAAAAUACCUUUUUAGGAUCGGUUCACUUUCUAAUUCUUUCCAUUUUUCUGGCAUUGGCAUGAUGCAAUGAGAAGUGAUAUGCAG
RNAcentral lists this small nuclear RNA (137 nucleotides) under Fukomys damarensis (Damara mole-rat). RNAcentral's name for it is "U2 spliceosomal RNA". It matches the Rfam family "U2 spliceosomal RNA". Rfam says of the family: U2 is a small nuclear RNA (snRNA) component of the spliceosome (involved in pre-mRNA splicing). Complementary binding between U2 snRNA (in an area lying towards the 5' end but 3' to hairpin I) and the branchpoint sequence (BPS) of the intron results the bulging out of an unpaired adenosine, on the BPS, which initiates a nucleophilic attack at the intronic 5' splice site, thus starting the first of two transesterification reactions that mediate splicing. Lineage: Eukaryota; Metazoa; Chordata; Mammalia; Rodentia; Bathyergidae. The record is from Rfam by way of RNAcentral.